UAGGAAAGUCGUAACAAGGUAACCGUAAGUCGUAACAAGGUAACCGUAAGUCGUGACAAGGUAACCGUAGAGUUUGAUCCUGGCUCAGGAUUCACGUUGGCGGUACGCCUAAUACUUGCAGGUAACCGCAAGGCAACCAAGGUUCCCAUAAAGUUAGAUAAUGGCUCAACCUUUGACUUAAAAAAAUGGAUAAUUCGUAACAAGAUUGACGUAAAAAUUGAUCAGGUCUCAAGAAAGUCACAACAAGGUAACCGUAGAAUUUGAUCAUGGCUCAAGGAAACCGUAAAGUGGUAUCCUGAGAGUUGGAUCCUGGAUCAAGGUUUGACUUAAAAAAAAUCAUAAGUCAUAACAAGGUAACCGAAGAAUUUGAUCAUGUUUAUCGUGAGUCAUAACUUGGUAGCCAAAAAGUUUGAUCCUGUAACAAGGUAACCGUAACAUUGGAUCAUGGAUUCGGAACGUCGUAACCAUGUAUCCAAUCAGAAUGAUUCUAGAUCAUUCAAGAGCCUACACUAUAUCUA
Molecule: ribosomal RNA, 518 nt
Filed under: uncultured bacterium
Lineage: Bacteria
Description: partial 16S ribosomal RNA
Source: RNAcentral